GAUCCUGGCUCAGGAUGAACGCUGGCGGCAUGCCUAAUACAUGCAAGUCGAACGAGAGGAAGGAAAGCUUGCUUUUCUGAAUCUAGUGGCGAACGGGUGAGUAACACGUAGGUAACCUGCCCAUGUGCCCGGGAUAACUUCUGGAAACGGAAUGCUAAAACCGGAAUAGGUAGCAGACAAGCAUUUGUACUGCUAUUAAAGUUAGGCUAUGGCCAUGAACAAUGGAUGGACCGUGCGGUGG
RNAcentral lists this ribosomal RNA (241 nucleotides) under uncultured bacterium. Its description in RNAcentral is "partial 16S ribosomal RNA". It matches the Rfam family "Bacterial small subunit ribosomal RNA", at positions 15 to 239 of the family's 1533-position model. The record is from RNAcentral.